GACGAACGCUGGCGGCGUGCUUAACACAUGCAAGUCGAACGGUGACCCAGGGCUUGCCCUGGUGAUCAGUGGCGAACGGUGAGUAACACGUGGGCAACCUGCCCCCUGACUUCGGGAUAACUCCUCGAAAGAGGAGCUAAUACCGGAUACGACCACUUCGGACAUCCGAUGGUGGUGGAAAGUUUUUCGGUCAGGGAUGGGCCCGCGGCCUAUCAGCUAGUUGGUGGGGUAAUGGCCUACCAAGGCGACGACGGGUAGCCGGCCUGAGAGGGCGACCGGCCACACUGGGACUGAGACACGGCCCAGACUCCUACGGGAGGCAGCAGUGGGGAAUAUUGCGCAAUGGGCGAAAGCCUGACGCAGCGACGCCGCGUGAGGGAUGAAGGCCUGGUUGUAAACCGUCUUUCAGCAGGGACGAAGCGAAAGU
This 427-nucleotide ribosomal RNA is filed under the name uncultured bacterium. Its description in RNAcentral is "bacterial SSU rRNA". It matches the Rfam family "Bacterial small subunit ribosomal RNA", at positions 28 to 457 of the family's 1533-position model. The record is from RNAcentral.